Molecule: ribosomal RNA, 627 nt
Filed under: Fusarium biseptatum
Lineage: Eukaryota; Fungi; Ascomycota; Sordariomycetes; Hypocreales; Nectriaceae
Description: eukaryotic LSU rRNA
Rfam family: Eukaryotic large subunit ribosomal RNA
Source: RNAcentral
UUGACCUCGGAUCAGGUAGGAAUACCCGCUGAACUUAAGCAUAUCAAUAAGCGGAGGAAAAGAAACCAACAGGGAUUGCCCUAGUAACGGCGAGUGAAGCGGCAACAGCUCAAAUUUGAAAUCUGGCUCUCGGGCCCGAGUUGUAAUUUGUAGAGGAUGCUUUUGGCAAGGUGCCUUCCGAGUUCCCUGGAACGGGACGCCAUAGAGGGUGAGAGCCCCGUCUGGUUGGACACCGAGCCUCUGUAAAGCUCCUUCGACGAGUCGAGUAGUUUGGGAAUGCUGCUCUAAAUGGGAGGUAUAUGUCUUCUAAAGCUAAAUACUGGCCAGAGACCGAUAGCGCACAAGUAGAGUGAUCGAAAGAUGAAAAGCACUUUGAAAAGAGAGUUAAAAAGCACGUGAAAUUGUUGAAAGGGAAGCGCUCAUGACCAGACUUGGGCUUGGUUGAUCAUCCGGCGUUCUCGCCGGUGCACUCUUCCAGUUCAGGCCAGCAUCAGUUUGCCCCGGGGGAUAAAAGCAGCGGGAAUGUGGCUCCUUCGGGAGUGUUAUAGCCCGUUGCAUAAUACCCUGAGGCAGACUGAGGACCGCGCUUCGUGCAAGGAUGCUGGCGUAAUGGUCAUCAGCGACCCG